UACGUAGGGUGCGAGCGUUGUCCGGAAUUAUUGGGCGUAAAGGGCUCGUAGGCGGUCUGUUGCGUCGGGAGUGAAAACUCAGGGCUUAACCCUGAGCCUGCUUCCGAUACGGGCAGACUAGAGGUAUGCAGGGGAGAACGGAAUUCCUGGUGUAGCGGUGAAAUGCGCAGAUAUCAGGAGGAACACCGGUGGCGAAGGCGGUUCUCUGGGCAUUACCUGACGCUGAGGAGCGAAAGUGUGGGGGGCGAACAGG
This 253-nucleotide ribosomal RNA is filed under the name uncultured bacterium. Its description in RNAcentral is "partial 16S ribosomal RNA". It matches the Rfam family "Bacterial small subunit ribosomal RNA", at positions 524 to 776 of the family's 1533-position model. The record is from RNAcentral.